This 69-nucleotide transfer RNA is filed under the name Ictidomys tridecemlineatus (thirteen-lined ground squirrel). RNAcentral describes it as "Spermophilus tridecemlineatus (thirteen-lined ground squirrel) tRNA". It matches the Rfam family "tRNA". From Rfam's summary of the family: Transfer RNA (tRNA) molecules are approximately 80 nucleotides in length. Their secondary structure includes four short double-helical elements and three loops (D, anti-codon, and T loops). The record is from Rfam by way of RNAcentral. Lineage: Eukaryota; Metazoa; Chordata; Mammalia; Rodentia; Sciuridae.
GGGGUUGUAGCUCAGUAGUAGAGUACUUGCCUGGCAAGUGUGAGGCACUGAGUUCGAUUCUCAGCACCA